Molecule: ribosomal RNA, 253 nt
Filed under: uncultured bacterium
Lineage: Bacteria
Description: partial 16S ribosomal RNA
Rfam family: Bacterial small subunit ribosomal RNA
Source: RNAcentral
UACAGAGGGUGCAAGCGUUGUUCGGAAUUACUGGGCGUAAAGCGCACGUAGGCGGCUUUGUAAGUUAGAGGUGAAAGCCUGGGGCUCAACCCCAGAAUUGCCUUUAAGACUGCAUCGCUUGAAUCCAGGAGAGGUGAGUGGAAUUCCUGGUGUAGCGGUGAAAUGCGCAGAUAUCAGGAGGAACACCAAUUGCGAAGGCAGCUCGCUGGGACGUUACUGACGCUGAGACGCGAAAGCGUGGGGAGCAAACAGG